RNAcentral lists this ribosomal RNA (516 nucleotides) under uncultured bacterium. RNAcentral describes it as "bacterial SSU rRNA". It matches the Rfam family "Archaeal small subunit ribosomal RNA", at positions 345 to 866 of the family's 1478-position model. The record is from RNAcentral.
AAACUUCACACUGGGGGCAACCCCGAUGAGGGAAAUCCUAGUGCUAGGACAUUUGUUCUAGCUUUUCUCAAGCGUAGAUAACUUGAGGAAUAAGGGCUGGGUAAGACGGGUGCCAGCCGCCGCGGUAAUACCUGCAGCCCAAGUGGUGGUCGAUUUUAUUGAGUCUAAAACGUUCGUAGCCGGUUUGGUAAAUCUUUGGGUAAAUCGGGAGGCUCAACUUUCCGACUUCCGAAGAGACUGUCAAACUUGGGACCGGAGAGGCUAGAGGUACUUCUGGGGUAGGGGUAAAUCCUGUAAUCCUAGAAGGACCACCGGUGGCGAAGGCGUCUAGCUAGAACGGAUCCGACGGUGAGGGACGAAGCCCUGGGUCGCAAACGGGAUUAGAUACCCCGGUAGUCCAGGGUGUAAACGCUGCCGACUUGGUGUUGGAGGCCCUUCGGGGCAUUCAGUGCCGGAGAGAAGUUGUUAAGUCGGCUACUUGGGGAGUACGUCGCAAGGAUGAAACUUAAAGGAAUU